This 269-nucleotide long non-coding RNA is filed under the name Amborella trichopoda. RNAcentral describes it as "long non-coding RNA (ATRI_LNC000456)". Lineage: Eukaryota; Viridiplantae; Streptophyta; Magnoliopsida; Amborellales; Amborellaceae. The record is from RNAcentral.
ACACUCUUGCAGUUUAAGACUAUAGUCGAGCGGCUGCACAGGACAACAACAUAGACGACCCUAGCUUUCUUUUCAAGCCAUUGAAUCGUGGUUUCGCAUUUCAGUAUAAAAGAUGAUCUGAGAUGCAUACACUCUCUCUAUUACUCUGUUAGGUUAUGAGUUUUCCAUUUGAGAACUUUUAGGAUCAUCUAAAGUAAAUCAAUGACUUUCUGUCCUCUAUGGACAAGAGAAGCAUUUGGCAAUGCAUGAUUAGUUAACUAGUGUUUUUA